UACGUAGGGGGCGAGCGUUGUCCGGAAUGAUUGGGCGUAAAGGGCGCGUAGGCGGCCGAGCAAGUCAGUAGUGGAAGUCCAAUUUUCAAGGUUGGAAGUGCUAUUGAAACUGCAGGGCUUGAGUGCAGGAGAGGUUAUCGGAAUUCCCGGUGUAGCGGUGAAAUGCGUAGAGAUCGGGAGGAACACCAGUGGCGAAGGCGGGUAACUGGACUGCAACUGACGCUGAGGCGCGAAAGUGUGGGGAGCAAAC
This 250-nucleotide ribosomal RNA is filed under the name uncultured bacterium. RNAcentral describes it as "partial 16S ribosomal RNA". It matches the Rfam family "Bacterial small subunit ribosomal RNA", at positions 524 to 773 of the family's 1533-position model. The record is from RNAcentral.